Molecule: long non-coding RNA, 284 nt
Filed under: Brassica napus (rape)
Lineage: Eukaryota; Viridiplantae; Streptophyta; Magnoliopsida; Brassicales; Brassicaceae
Description: long non-coding RNA (BNAP_LNC026964)
Source: RNAcentral
UAAGGUCUAAUACAUUCACGGUCAUGGUUUGCGUAACGUUGACGUCAUGGUUUGCAUAACGAACCCCUUGAAUUAUGAACUCGAUUUUCUACUUUGGGCAGAAGCAUGUGGUGAAGGAACAAGUGUUGGUUAUGUAGUGGGAAGUUAGGGAAAGUCAUCUUUGAGUGAUGCAAACACACUUAUUAGAUAGUUACGAGUGAUGAUUGUUAUCAUGUUAUGUAAUGUAAGGUCAAAGACUUAUCAUGUUAUGUAAUGUAAGGUCAAAGACUUAUCAUGUUAUGUAA